UCUGCCAGAGGCACACUCGUCGCCAGGCGAGGGCGCGAAGCUACCCGUCCCGAUCGUGACGGACAGUGGGGUUGCCGCGG
Molecule: non-coding RNA, 80 nt
Filed under: unclassified sequences
Description: c-di-GMP sequence
Rfam family: c-di-GMP-I-GGC riboswitch aptamer
Source: Rfam by way of RNAcentral